CGCGGCCUAUCAGCUUGUUGGUGAGGUAACGGCUCACCAAGGCGACGACGGGUAGCUGGUCUGAGAGGACGAUCAGCCACACUGGGACUGAGACACGGCCCAGACUCCUACGGGAGGCAGCAGUGGGGAAUCUUGCGCAAUGGGCGAAAGCCUGACGCAGCAACGCCGCGUGCGGGAUGAAGGCCUUCGGGUUGUAAACCGCUUUCAGUGGGGACGAAUUCAGACGGUACCCACAGAAGAAGCCCCGGCCAACUACGUGCCAGCAGCCGCGGUAACACGUAGGGGGCGAGCGUUGUCCGGAAUCAUUGGGCGUAAAGAGCUCGUAGGCGGCUCAGUAAGUCGGGUGUGAAACCCUCAGGCUCAACCUGGGGACGCCACCCGAUACUGCUGUGGCUAGAGUCCAGUAGGGGAGUGUGGAAUUCCCGGUGUAGCGGUGAAAUGCGCAGAUAUCGGGAGGAACACCAGCGGCGAAGGCGGCACUCUGGGCUGGAACUGACGCUGAGGAGCGAAAGCGUGGGUAGCAAACAGGAUUAGAUACCCUGGUAGUCCACGCCGUAAACGUUGGGCACUAGGUGUGGGGACCCUCCAACGGUUUCCGUGCCGUAGCUAACGCAUUAAGUGCCCCGCCUGGGGAGUACGG
RNAcentral lists this ribosomal RNA (640 nucleotides) under uncultured Actinomycetes bacterium. RNAcentral describes it as "bacterial SSU rRNA". It matches the Rfam family "Bacterial small subunit ribosomal RNA", at positions 232 to 885 of the family's 1533-position model. The record is from RNAcentral. Lineage: Bacteria; Bacillati; Actinomycetota; Actinomycetes.